This 484-nucleotide ribosomal RNA is filed under the name uncultured bacterium. Its description in RNAcentral is "partial 16S ribosomal RNA". It matches the Rfam family "Bacterial small subunit ribosomal RNA", at positions 30 to 507 of the family's 1533-position model. The record is from RNAcentral.
AUUGAACGCUGGCGGCAGGCCUAACACAUGCAAGUCGAGCGGAUGAAGGGAGCUUGCUCCUGGAUUCAGCGGCGGACGGGUGAGUAAUGCCUAGGAAUCUGCCUGGUAGGGGGGGAUAACGUCCGGAAACGGGCGCUAAUACCGCAUACGUCGUGAGGGAGAAAGUGGGGGGGCUUCGGACCGCACGCUAUCAGAGGAGCCUAGGUCGGAUUAGCUAGUUGGUGGGGUAAAGGCCUACCAAGGCGACGAUCCGUAACUGGUCUGAGAGGAUGAUCAGUCACCCUGGAACUGAGACACGCUCCAGACUCCUACGGGAGGCCGCAGUGGGGAAUAUUGGACAAUGGGCGAAAGCCUUAUCCAGCCAUGCCGCGUGUGUGAAGACGGUCUUCGGAUUGUAAAGCACUUUAAGUUGGGAUGAAGGGCAGUAAGUUAAUACCUUGCUGUUUUGACGUUACCAACAGAAUAAGCACCGGCUAACUUCGUG